UUUGUGAAUCAUAUAAAAAACAAAUACGAGAUUAGGACUCUUUAACAAACAAAAUUGGUGUGCAGCUCCUUAACACCACUGCUAGUUGAACUGGCAGGUUGCAAAUCGACAUGAAUGGGUCAUUAAGUGCACUAGAGCUCUAUUUUCAUGUCUAAUUAGAAAAUUUUAAACUCCAAAAAUAGUUAAAAUCAAGGAGAUCUAUUAACAUAUCAAAAUUUUG
Molecule: long non-coding RNA, 220 nt
Filed under: Amborella trichopoda
Lineage: Eukaryota; Viridiplantae; Streptophyta; Magnoliopsida; Amborellales; Amborellaceae
Description: long non-coding RNA (ATRI_LNC000726)
Source: RNAcentral